RNAcentral lists this long non-coding RNA (373 nucleotides) under Mytilus galloprovincialis (Mediterranean mussel). The record is from RNAcentral. Lineage: Eukaryota; Metazoa; Mollusca; Bivalvia; Mytilida; Mytilidae.
GGGGGGGGGGCAUCAGGAUCCCUAACUGUUUAUUCCUAUAUAUUACUAGACUGAUUAAUAUAUAAUAUACUUAAAGUCUCAUGAUUUUAUUGAUUUUUCCACUUCUAAUGGGACGAAGCCACACUACAUCCUACAUCUCUACAUUUUACUCUCGUGCUAUUUUUAGCCAUGGCGGCCAUCUUUUUUAAUAGUCUGGGUAGUGACUUUCAAGACGGCAUUUAUCCAUUUAUCAUUUGAAUCUUUAGUUUAUAGUAGUAAAUGAAGCAAUUCUAUCUUUUUAUUCACAUAACCUAUAAACGUUAAACCUCGACUCUUCUGUUCUUUCUUUUCGUCUUUCUUAGUACUGUGACCCCGAUGUCGGUCUUGUUCUCUU